GGAGGAGCCAGCCGAUGUGGUGACGGCACCCCGUUCGAAGCGGGACGAGCUCGACAGCCUUGGGGGUUCGACUCCCUCCUCCUCCGCCA
Molecule: transfer RNA, 89 nt
Filed under: Couchioplanes azureus
Lineage: Bacteria; Bacillati; Actinomycetota; Actinomycetes; Micromonosporales; Micromonosporaceae
Description: tRNA-Ser
Rfam family: tRNA
About the family: Transfer RNA (tRNA) molecules are approximately 80 nucleotides in length.
Source: RNAcentral